CCUACGGGGGGCUGCAGUGAGGAAUAUUGGUCAAUGGCCGGAAGGCUGAACCAGCCAAGCCGCGUGAGGGAGGAAGGCGCAGAGCGUCUCAGACCUCUUUUGCCGGGGGACAAAAGGCCGGACUCGUCCGGUCCUGAGGGUACCCGGAGAAAAAGCAUCGCGUAACUCCGUGCCAGCAGCCGCGGUAAUACGGGGGAUGCGAGCGUUAUCCGGAUUCAUGGGGUUUAAAGGGUGCGCAGGCGGGCCUUUAAGCCGGCGGUGAAAUCGCGGGGCUCAACCCCGCCGAGCCGUCGGAACUGGGGGGCUUGAGUGCGGCGGAGGCAUGCAGAAUGCGCGGUGUAGCGGUGAAAUGCAUAGAUAUCGCGCAGAACCCCGAUGGCGAAGGCAGCGUGCCGUGCCGCCACUGACGCUGAGGCACGAAAGCGCGGGGAUCGAACAGGAUUAGAUACCCCAGUAGUC
RNAcentral lists this ribosomal RNA (459 nucleotides) under uncultured bacterium. Its description in RNAcentral is "partial 16S ribosomal RNA". It matches the Rfam family "Bacterial small subunit ribosomal RNA", at positions 338 to 795 of the family's 1533-position model. The record is from RNAcentral.